CACUCUAAGAAAUGUUCGGUAAAUUUUACCGUCAUUUUAGGGGUAAAAAAUUAAAAAAUGAGGUCGGUAAACUGAUUCACCGACAAAUGUCGGUAAUAAUCACCGACAUUGGAGGCGUGGCGUUAGUCAAUGUUGCGCGCGCACAUUGGUUAAGGAUAGCAGCCUAUCAGAAGCUAUAUUUCAAACGCGUAAUUAAUCACGCGCGUUUUUUUUGUUGCUUCACUCCUUAAUUUGUCCGUUUGAUUUGACAUUUGAUGAAUUCCAGACUUUUGGACUUCGAUAUUUGGUCGGCCGACAGUUAUAUCUUGGUCGCUUUUGUUAUUACUGCAGUACUGCGUUGGCAGUAUUUCUGUAAGGCAAUGCAUCUUAGAUUCAAUAAUGUCAGUGUAGGUGUCGUGUUGUUUAAUGCUGGUUAUUAAUGUAUUGUUCAGUGUGAUUAUAGCAGUAUGGGACAGUCGGGAAGUAGGGUAAGAUCUACCGUACCAAUAACUGAAUUAAUAUAUAUAUAUAUAUUUGAAUACAUACUGGCUAUAACAGUACAGCAGUAUACGGUACUGGUAUAAGGUUGGUUGGACUAGCUUACAUCAGUAAAUCCGCAGAUCCAUGUUACGCCUGGCGAUAUUUAACACAGCCAGAGCUUGAUUCGUAUUUCCGAAUCUGAAUUUUUAUUGUCAGUAGACUGGCAAAUGUUAAAAUGGCAAUACAAUAUCUGAAUAUGCCCUCUUCACAGCUCUAGACUUUGAAAUGUUAGCAUCUAAUUACUGAAUCAAGAUAAACCGUCAAAUUAUCAACAGCUUUAUGAUGAUCGCAAACUCGGACUACGUGCAGGCUGGACUACAGGAAACACAUGAACAGGCAGACAGGGAGAGAGGUGACGUUGCUCUACACCCCAAAACCGUGGCUUGAAGAAUAUGGCAUUAAAAUAAACAGAAACUGAAGAAUCUGAUUAUGCAGGCAUGAACAAAUUGUCUGCCCCAACCCUGAACUGUGAAAAAUUCAAUGUCUAAGGCUUCAUAAUAUUUGAGAUUCUUACUAACAUGUUAUUUCAAGGAAGAAGUAUUUGAGGUACCUCUUCCAUCUGAUCUACAAAGUUUGGUAAUACUGGAAAAGUCUGUAUCGAUUGAUUGCCCACAGAUUUUUGUCCCUGAACUCCAAGAGGAAAAGAAAAUAUGAAAGUUUAUAGAAAGAUAACUUGAAGAUAUGGAGAAUAAAAUACCACGAGUUCGUAAAAGCAGAUGGAUAAUGCAAUACAAUCAGCAUGUGCAACACUAACCCGGAAAGACUCCCCCUCUGCCAUAGAAUAUUCUCUCACAGAGGCUGUCUAUAGAGACUUGUUUAAAGUGACUAUGUGAACGGAUACCCUGCGAGCAUAAACUUCUUCAACGAGAAGUUUCUGUCUACCUCGCAUUUCUAACUUUUCACUAUACAAUUUCUCAUUUUUCCAAGUUUUAUAAUUCAUUUCACGUUCACUUUUAUUUUUUGAAUAAACCUUGUUUCAUACAAUAA
Molecule: non-coding RNA, 1506 nt
Organism: Styela clava
Lineage: Eukaryota; Metazoa; Chordata; Ascidiacea; Stolidobranchia; Styelidae
Source: RefSeq, a predicted model, not a curated record